This is a long non-coding RNA of Chionomys nivalis (European snow vole), 474 nucleotides long. RefSeq lists it as uncharacterized. Lineage: Eukaryota; Metazoa; Chordata; Mammalia; Rodentia; Cricetidae. The transcript is spliced from 3 exons. The record is from RefSeq and is a predicted model, not a curated record.
CGAGGCGGCGAGAUGUCUAAAAUAGGAAGACGCUGGGGACGGCUGGCCUGGCUGCCCGCGAUGCUGGCUGCGGGAAUCUGGUCCGGCAGUGCAGAUGGAAAAGCUAGGAGCCAAGGUACAGAGUUCGAAUCUCUGGCACUUUCUCCAUCCAUCAGUAGACAUAUGUACAAAUGUCUACCGCCUUCCAGGGCUCGUCUAUGAUAAACGUGUGUCACCACCACACCUUCCCUUCUUUUCCUCGGUGACACUUCAGCGCUAUCAGGCCUGUCUAUCUCUUGUUGCACCCAGUGGCUUGUCUUUUUUUUCUUUUAAAGACAGAGUCAAGGGCUGGAGAGAUGGCUCAGAGGUUGAGAGCACUGACUGCUCUUCCAGAGGUCCUGAGUUCAAUUCCAGCAACCACAUGGUGGCUCACAACCGUCUGUAAUGAAGUCUGGUGCCCUCUUCUGGCCUGCAGGGAUAUACACAGACAGACUG